AUCGCUUCUCAGCCUUUUGGCUAAGAUCAAGUGUAGAAUGUUUGUUCUUAUUUGAAAUCAAAACUAACAUUCCUAAUAAGUUAAAUAUCUGCACAGAAUUGCUCUUGUGAGAAUAGUCUUUGAUAUCAUGCCAAUGGACUAGAUUGAGGAAUGUUAUCACAAACAAU
Molecule: small nuclear RNA, 167 nt
Organism: Heterocephalus glaber (naked mole-rat)
Lineage: Eukaryota; Metazoa; Chordata; Mammalia; Rodentia; Bathyergidae
Gene: U2
Rfam family: U2 spliceosomal RNA
About the family: U2 is a small nuclear RNA (snRNA) component of the spliceosome (involved in pre-mRNA splicing). Complementary binding between U2 snRNA (in an area lying towards the 5' end but 3' to hairpin I) and the branchpoint sequence (BPS) of the intron results the bulging out of an unpaired adenosine, on the BPS, which initiates a nucleophilic attack at the intronic 5' splice site, thus starting the first of two transesterification reactions that mediate splicing.
Source: Ensembl